CAGCCAGCCUCUGUGACUGUGCAGCCAGGUCAACCUCUGACCAUCAGCUGCCAGGUCUCUUAUUCUCUCAGCAGCUACUACACAGCUUGGAUCAGACAGCCUGCAGGAAAAGGACUGGAGUGGAUUGGAAUGAAACAUGGUGGAGGGACCACAUUCUUUAAAGAUUCAUUAAAGAACAAGUUCAGUAUCGACGUAGACACUUCCAGCAACACAGUGACUCUAAAGGGACAGAACGUGCAGCCUGGAGACACUGCUGUGUAUUACUGUGCCAGAGACUUAAUCUCCCUUCAAACUGAUGACAAACCAAACCACCAACCAGACGUUCAACAAACGACCAUGAUGACUUUAACUAAAUGUCUCACAUUUCUGCUGCUGUCAGCCAUUUCUGGUGUUUGCAGUCAGACUCUGACUGAAUCUGAACCGGCGGUGAAGCAGCCCGGAGAAUCCCACAAACUGACGUGUACAUAUGCAGGGAUAUCUGAUGACUCUGCUGAUAUCAGCUGGAUCAGACAAGCUGAAGGAAAAGGCCUGGAGUGGGUUGCCCACAUUUCUGCUCCGUCAGGCAGCUCUAAAUAUUAUUCAGGAUCUGUCAAGAAUUGCUUCACAAUUUCCAGAAACAACAACAUGGACCAGGUGUAUCUGCACAUGAGCAGCCUGACGACUGAAGACUCUGCUGUUUAUUAUUGUGCUCGAGAUCCACAGUAA
Molecule: non-coding RNA, 705 nt
Organism: Hippoglossus stenolepis (Pacific halibut)
Lineage: Eukaryota; Metazoa; Chordata; Actinopteri; Pleuronectiformes; Pleuronectidae
Source: the annotation of a RefSeq genome assembly